Long non-coding RNA from Homo sapiens (human), 4746 nucleotides. RefSeq lists it as uncharacterized. The transcript has 3 exons. The record is from RefSeq and is a predicted model, not a curated record. Lineage: Eukaryota; Metazoa; Chordata; Mammalia; Primates; Hominidae.
CCCGCCUUCCUACUACCGGCCCAGGAUUAGCGCCCUGGGAGCGCGCGCCCCGCUGCCUCGCCGCCACACUUUCCUGGGAGCGGCGGCCACGGAGGCACCAUGAAGAAGUCUUACUCAGUUGGGAUGUAUACAAAAGUGGCGGUCAACAUGGAGUUGGUGGUGCUGCUACAAUUGUUUUGUUCAAGAUACACAGGAAUUCUGAUUUGCUUCUGGACCCGUGCAUUUCAAAUCUUGCUUCUCUCCACUGCGCACGUUUUUCCGGCGCCAGGCACCGCAGGAUAUGUUCGUGUCUUGUGAUUUUUGAUUCUGCGCGGUAGGUGGAAUUGGAACGGUGAGUGGAGCGAGUAUUGCUGGAAUCCGUUUCCACACCGGGAUAGCGAGCAGUAACUGAACUAUACAUGGAAAUAAAUGGGAACUACAUAAAUAUAACCCGACCAAAGCCAAACUAAAUAUCUUUCCAGUUCAACUUCUCCUUAGCAGGAGCCCCCACGUGGCAGCAAGCCUCCGUUUCCACCUCACACAAGAGAAAAUGUGACGGGCAGGAACUCAAGACUGGAAAUGAACGGGGACGUUAAUUGAUUGUAGGGAAAAUAUUUUCCAUUUUGUAAAUUUUACAAAAAAUGUUUGACCCUGUGGACAUGUGGUUAGGGCCCUUCUCAGUGCCUUGAGAGGGAACCAUGCAGGUAGAGGGAGGGUUCUUAGCAUUGUGGGGGUGACCUGGAGAUUGGCAGCAGGGUGCCACCACCACCCCUAGGUGGGGAUGAGAGGGAGGAAGUCCUGUGACCAGAGUCCAGGGGCCAGAGUCACCUGCUGGGAGCCCAAACAAAGGUGGGACUCUGGCAGGAGCUGGAACUACACAGAGGACCACCUCUCCUGCUGGAGAAGCUGUCUGAGGCAGAGGAGGUGGAGAGCUCCCGCGCCCUCCCUUGCUUCCACCUCCCAGGUUCCUCCCAAGCCUCUCGUUGGUUGAACCCAGCCCAAAGCCAGCAGGCCUGGGGACCUGGACACCUGAGCCAGCAGAGGUCGGCGUUUCUCCCACACAAAGGAGGGCACAAGAAGUGGGAGGCACGGAGGGGGAUCAGGCCAGGACCCACACAGGAUGUGCAAACAGGAGCUCCCCUCUCUUCCCACCCCAAAUGGCAUCUGCAGCCGGCCUCACUUCCCUGCUGUUAGACAGGAAGAGGAACCUUGUUCCCGGCACCAGCUGCCCCCACCGCCCCCCACCCCACGGAGGCCCCUUUCCUCUCUGGCCUUUGCUUGCAAUCAUUGGCGACGCUGAUGGACCAUAUCUUCUGGGGAGUUUGGUCAUGAACAUGGUUUCCCAUUUGUUGUGGACCAAACUGUGCCCUUCCCCUUGAAUUCCUGCGUUGAAGCCCUAACUCCCAAUGCAGCUGUAAUUGAAGAUAGGGCUUUUAGGGAGGUAAUUAAGGUUAAAUGAAGUCAUAGGGCAGGACCCUAAUCUAAUAGGAUUGAUGUCCUUAUAAGAAGAGGGAGAGACACCAGAGAUCUCUCCUCCCCCCUCACUUGUAAACAGAGGAAAAAUGACGGAGGACACAGCAGGGAGGUGGGUACAAGCCAGGAAGAGGGGCCUCGCCGGGAACUAACCCUGACGGCACCUUGAUCCGGGACUUUGGGCCUCUCAAACUGAGAAAUACAUGUCUGUUGUUUAAGUCACUCCCUCCACAGUAAUCUGGAUGGCAGCCUGAGCUUACCAAGGCACCGUCUGCAUCAGCCAGGGCUCUCCAGGGAGACAGCCAAUAGGAGAUGGAUGGAUGGAUGGAUGGCUAGAUAGACAGACAAGCGGACAGAGAGAGAGAGAGACAGGCAGACACAGACAGACAGGCAGACAAAUGGCUAGAUAGACAAGCAGACAGAGAGAUAGAGACAGACAGACACAAACAGGCAAACAGACAGGCAGACAAAUGGAUAGAUAGAUGAUAGAUAGCCAGGCAGGCAGAUAGACACAGACAGGCAGACAGACAGACAGACAGAUGAUAGGUUGGGUUCAGUGACUCUUACCUGUAAUAACCAGCACAUUGGUAGGCUGAGGCCGGUGGAUCACUUGAGGCCAGGAGUUUGAGACCAGCCUGGCUAACAGGGUGAAACCCCAUCUCUACUAAAAAUAGAAAAAUUAGCUGGGCGUGGUGGUGCAUGUCUGUAAUCCCAGCCACUCGGGAGGCUGAGGCACGAGAAUCACUUGAACCUGGGAGGUGGAGGUUGCAGUGAGCUGAGAUCACGCCACUGCACUCCAGCCUAGGCGACAAAGUGAGACUCCAUCUCAAAAAGAAAAAAAAGAUAGAUAGAUGAAUGGAUAGAUAGCUAGAUAGAUGACAGAUGGAUGAUAGGUAGAUAGAUAAUUGAUAAAUAGAUAUAAAUGACCGAUGGACAGGCAGACAUAGAUACAUUGAUUAGGUAGAUGAUAGAUGGAUAGAUAGAAGAUAGAUGGUGGAUGGGUGGGUAGAUAGGCAGAUAGACAGUUAGAAAGAUAGAUGAUAGAUAGAUAGGAAGGAAUUUAUUAGGGGAAUUGGCUCAUACCAUUGUGGAGGCCAAGAUGUACCACAGAAGGCCGUCCGCAAGCUGGAGGCCCAGGAAAGCCAGUAUCGUGGCUCAGUCCAAGUCUGCAGGCCUCAGGACUGGGAAGCUGUUGAUGUAACUCUUAGUUUAAGGCCAAAGGUUUGAGAGCCUGGGGAACUGCUGGAGAACUGGGAGUUCUAAGUCCAAGGGCAGGAGAGGAAGGCAUCCCACCUCCAGGAGAAAGAGGGAAUUCACCUUUUCUCUGCCUUUUUGUUGUCUGGCAAUGGAAUGGUGUCAUCCAUAUUGAGGGAGGAUCUUUACCACUCAGCCCACCAACUCACAUGCCCAUCUCCUCCAGAAACACCCUCACAGACACACCCAGAAGCGAUGCGUUACCAGCCAUCCCUUAAUCCAGCCAAACUGACACCUGCCGUCAGCCACCACACAGGCUCAGAAGAAUCGUGGUUGCAUGGUGAUGGUCUCCAUCCCGUCUAAAGAAGUUGAAGAUGAACUGUUGGCACAAGCCAUCGUUCUUUCAGGCUCCUUCCAGUCGUUCAUUCUUUUAAAAAUGUAUUCAUUGAGCACCUGCUGCAUGCCAGGUGCUGUGACAAGCACUGGGGCACAGCAGUGAGCAAACAAGGACUCUUGUUUCUUGGAGUUUACAUGCAGUAGAAGGAAACAGAAUCAAUGAAUUCAUCAGUUCUAGAAACUAUCAAAAUAGGACUAAGAGCUGUGGUGAGAAUUAAGAUAAGGUGAUUGCAUAGAAAGUGACUGAUGGCUGCUUUGGAAUGAGUGGUGAGGGGUCACAGAGAUGAUGACAGCUGAGUUGAGAUUGGGAAGACAGGAAGGAGCCAGCAGUGCAAGGACUAGGCUGGAAGCAAGCUUGGUGCAUUCCAGGAACAGCAAGGAGGCCAGAGGGGCUGCAGUAGAGCAGGCGAGGAGGAGGAGGGAGACGCAGGUCAAAGAGGAGCCUGGGGCCAGAUGGAGGACCCUCCCUCCAAAGCUCAGUCAUUUCCUCCUUAAAGGAGAAUGUGUUACCUCCAAAAGUCACAUAUGCCAGCACAGUGUCUGGCUCAUCAUAUGCCUUCAGUAGGCGGUGAGCAUGGCUGUUCUUGUUAUUACUACAUCACAAUUACUAGGAAUAAUGGAGUCACCAGGCUUUGCAUUUACAGCAAUGUGAGGGAGUCAGCAAGCUUCCCUGGGGAACCCAUCUCCCCUCACUAAGUUCAUAAGAGCCUGAUAACCAGGUCAAUGUAGUGAGAGCUAUAGCUGCCCAGUGUACUGGACUCUUUAGCCACGGGCCAGGACACUUUCAUCUCAGCAGAAACCUCUAAGGGGACUGGGGAGUGUGCUGUGGAUGUUUCUGGGUUACUCAGACCUCCUGGGGAGCCUUCCCCACCGCAGCUGCUGCAGGGAGCUCAGCUGCAGUGAUGAACUGCGGCUCAGCCUUGUUUAUGGGAAAACCCUACAUGGGAGAUGGGACGGUUUCCUGUUGGUUCUCUCGGCCUCAGGUUGCUUUCACAAGUGCAGGGAUUCUCACCUGGGUGUGUGAAUGGGGCUCAGGAUGCCCCAAGGGUAUGUGGAGAUGGGGGUCAGCUGUCUUCUCUGAUGCCUCUGAACCUCCUCCCCCUGCCUUUCUGCAUCUCAUUGCUUCCUGGCCUCUCUCACUUUGGGUGCUUUGGAACAACAUGCAAUCCAAUACACAGGCUGACUUUAUUAUUUUGUUUUGUUUUAUUUUAUUUUAUUUUGGAAACAAAGGCUCUGUCAUUCAGCCUGGAGUGCAGCGGUGCAAUUGCAACUCACUGCAGCCUUGAACUUCUGGGCUCAAGUGAUUCUCUCGCCUCAGCCUCUCAAAGUGCUGGGAUUACAGGCAUGAGCUGCUGUGCCUGGCCUAGGCUGGCUUUAAAAGCUCCUCACUCUCUCUGCAUCCUGAUGAUACCUACCUCCUGGAGCAGGCUCCCAGCCAUUGGCUUCGGAUACUUUGUAGCUAUUAUUGGCCAGUUGUGGCAUGUGAAGCUGAGGCUCAGGAGAAGGGCAGUCCUGUCCAAGGCCACACGGCUCAGUGCUAACACUCAGACUUCAGUGUUUUUAUCUCCCUCCUGGUCGCUUCCACCCUUAGUGCAUCUCUGGAGGCCCAAGGGAGCUAAAGGCCAGGCUUUGGUCAGCUAAGAAUUUAAAAAAGCUGUCUCUGUGCUCCUCUGUCAAUCCAUCACUCCAUUAUCUCCCCCGACA